CUUUGUGUUUGCCCCCACCACCGCUUGACAUUCGUUGCUGGUGUGUUUACGUCCCCAUAACUUGGUGCUUCGGCAAACAGACCGAUAGAAUAAGUAUCCGGCUUUAAAAAAUAAGUACUGCAUGGCCGCAGUCUAAUGACUGAAACAAAUAAAAGAUAAAAUCAGGGUAAAGAUGGAGAUUGUCUCUUUACAGAUGAAAUACAUCAGUAUUUAUCUAAAGUUCAACCACGAAUUAAAUAUUUUUGAACCAAGAGACAAGUACAGGUUUCUCAUUCGUUUCAGUCUACCAAAUCCACUCACAAGGAUUUCGUCGGCCCGAGGCUAUAAUAGCAGACGCUUGCCUAAAGUGCCACGCAGUGGGAAUGAACCCGGGAUCAUGUAAUUGAGCAGCAAAGUUUGUACCACGCAUCCAUGCCUGUCGUGUUUAUGUCAAAUUUAAGGAGGCAACUUGUCUUGCAACAAAUACCAAUUCUAUUUCUUGGUAGAUAUUUAAUAUUAUUGAAAUAAACAUGUUAAAUAGA
Octopus bimaculoides (California two-spot octopus) is the source of this 521-nucleotide long non-coding RNA. The record is from RefSeq and is a predicted model, not a curated record. Lineage: Eukaryota; Metazoa; Mollusca; Cephalopoda; Octopoda; Octopodidae.